ACGAACGCUGGCGGCAGGCCUAACACAUGCAAGUCGAGCGAGGACUUCGGUUCUAGCGGCGGACGGGUGAGUAACGCGUGGGAAUGUGCCCUUCUCUACGGAAUAGCCCUGGGAAACUGGGAGUAAUACCGUAUACGCCCUAUUGGGGAAAGAUUUAUCGGAGAAGGAUCAGCCCGCGUUGGAUUAGGUAGUUGGUGGGGUAAUGGCCUACCAAGCCGACGAUCCAUAGCUGGUUUGAGAGGAUGAUCAGCCACACUGGGACUGAGACACGGCCCAGACUCCUACGGGAGGCAGCAGUGGGGAAUCUUAGACAAUGGGGGCAACCCUGAUCUAGCCAUGCCGCGUGAGUGAUGAAGGCCUUAGGGUUGUAAAGCUCUUUCAGCCGGGAAGAUAAUGACGGUACCAGCAGAAGAAGCCCCGGCUAACUCCGUG
RNAcentral lists this ribosomal RNA (432 nucleotides) under uncultured bacterium. Its description in RNAcentral is "partial 16S ribosomal RNA". It matches the Rfam family "Bacterial small subunit ribosomal RNA", at positions 29 to 507 of the family's 1533-position model. The record is from RNAcentral.